RNAcentral lists this ribosomal RNA (245 nucleotides) under uncultured Oscillospiraceae bacterium. RNAcentral's name for it is "partial 16S ribosomal RNA". It matches the Rfam family "Bacterial small subunit ribosomal RNA", at positions 796 to 1041 of the family's 1533-position model. The record is from RNAcentral. Lineage: Bacteria; Bacillati; Bacillota; Clostridia; Eubacteriales; Oscillospiraceae.
CACGCCGUAAACGAUGAAUACUAGGUGUGGGGGGACUGACCCCUUCCGUGCCGCAGUUAACACAAUAAGUAUUCCACCUGGGGAGUACGACCGCAAGGUUGAAACUCAAAGGAAUUGACGGGGGCCCGCACAAGCAGUGGAUUAUGUGGUUUAAUUCGAAGCAACGCGAAGAACCUUACCAGGUCUUGACAUCGUGCGCAUACCAUAGAAAUAUGGAAAGUCCUUCGGGACGCAUAGACAGGUGG